Molecule: ribosomal RNA, 429 nt
Filed under: bacterium
Lineage: Bacteria
Also listed under: 6 other names
Description: partial 16S ribosomal RNA
Rfam family: Bacterial small subunit ribosomal RNA
Source: RNAcentral
UGGGGAAUUUUGGACAAUGGGGGCAACCCUGAUCCAGCAAUGCCGCGUGUGUGAAGAAGGCCUUCGGGUUGUAAAGCACUUUUGUCCGGAAAGAAAACUUCGGGGCUAAUACCCCUGGAGGAUGACGGUACCGGAAGAAUAAGCACCGGCUAACUACGUGCCAGCAGCCGCGGUAAUACGUAGGGUGCGAGCGUUAAUCGGAAUUACUGGGCGUAAAGCGUGCGCAGGCGGUGCUGUAAGACCGAUGUGAAAUCCCCGGGCUUAACCUGGGAACUGCAUUGGUGACUGCAGCGCUGGAGUAUGGCAGAGGGGGGUGGAAUUCCACGUGUAGCAGUGAAAUGCGUAGAGAUGUGGAGGAACACCGAUGGCGAAGGCAGCCCCCUGGGCCAAUACUGACGCUCAUGCACGAAAGCGUGGGGAGCAAACAGG